This 459-nucleotide ribosomal RNA is filed under the name uncultured bacterium. Its description in RNAcentral is "SSU rRNA". It matches the Rfam family "Bacterial small subunit ribosomal RNA", at positions 26 to 518 of the family's 1533-position model. The record is from RNAcentral.
AGAAUCAACGCUGGCGGCGUGCCUAACACAUGCAAGUCGAACGAGAAAGUGGAGCAAUCCAUGAGUAAAGUGGCGACCGGGUGAGUAACACGUGACUAACCUACCUUCGAGUGGGGGAUAACCUCGGGAAACCGAGGCUAAUACCGCAUAACAUCGCAAGAUCAAAGCAGCAAUGCGCUGGAAGAGGGGGUCGCGGCUGAUUAGCUAGUUGGCGGGGUAAUGGCCCACCAAGGCGAAGAUCGGUAGCCGGCCUGAGAGGGCGCACGGCCACACUGGAACUGAAACACGGUCCAGACUCCUACGGAGGCAGCAGUGGGGAAUUUUGCGCAAUGGGGGAAACCCUGACGCAGCAACGCCGCGUGGAGGAUGAAGCCCCUUGGGGUGUAAACUCCUUUCGACCAAGACGAUAAUGACGGUACUGGUGGAAGAAGCACCGGCUAACUCUGCGCCAGCAGCCGC